This 1000-nucleotide ribosomal RNA is filed under the name uncultured Mycoplasma sp. RNAcentral describes it as "bacterial SSU rRNA". It matches the Rfam family "Bacterial small subunit ribosomal RNA", at positions 448 to 1455 of the family's 1533-position model. The record is from RNAcentral. Lineage: Bacteria; Bacillati; Mycoplasmatota; Mollicutes; Mycoplasmatales; Mycoplasmataceae.
AACACUACAUUGAGGAAAUGCUUUGUAGCUGACGGUACCUUAUCAGAAAGCGAUGGCUAACUAUGUGCCAGCAGCCGCGGUAAUACAUAGGUCGCAAGCGUUAUCCGGAAUUAUUGGGCGUAAAGCGUUCGUAGGCUGUUUAUUAAGUCUGGAGUCAAAUCCCAGGGCUCAACCCUGGCUCGCUUUGGAUACUGGUAAACUAGAGUUAGAUAGAGGUAAGCGGAAUUCCAUGUGAAGCGGUGAAAUGCGUAGAUAUAUGGAAGAACACCAAAGGCGAAGGCAGCUUACUGGGUCUAUACUGACGCUGAGGGACGAAAGCGUGGGGAGCAAACAGGAUUAGAUACCCUGGUAGUCCACGCCGUAAACGAUGAUCAUUAGUCGGUGGGUUAUUCACUGACGCAGCUAACGCAUUAAAUGAUCCGCCUGAGUAGUAUGCUCGCAAGAGUGAAACUUAAAGGAAUUGACGGGGACCCGCACAAGCGGUGGAGCAUGUGGUUUAAUUUGAAGAUACACGGAGAACCUUACCCACUCUUGACAUCUUCCGCAAAGCUAUAGAGAUAUAGUGGAGGUUAACGGAAUGACAGAUGGUGCAUGGUUGUCGUCAGCUCGUGUCGUGAGAUGUUUGGUCAAGUCCUGCAACGAGCGCAACCCCUAUCUUCAGUUACUAACGAGUUAUGUCGAGGACUCUGGAGAUACUGCCUGGGUAACUGGGAGGAAGGUGGGGAUGACGUCAAAUCAUCAUGCCUCUUACGAGUGGGGCAACACACGUGCUACAAUGGUCGGUACAAAGAGAAGCAAUAUGGCGACAUGGAGCAAAUCUCAAAAAGCCGAUCUCAGUUCGGAUUGAAGUCUGCAACUCGACUUCAUGAAGUCGGAAUCGCUAGUAAUCGCAGAUCAGCUAUGCUGCGGUGAAUACGUUCUCGGGUCUUGUACACACCGCCCGUCACACCAUGGGAGCUGGUAAUACCCAAAGUCGGUUUGCUAACCUCGGAGGCGACUG